GGCCAAUCCUAUUAAAGGAUGGGCUUGGCUCAUAAACCAAUCAAAGACCCCCAGAGGGGCGGGUUUUCUUGGGCUUGGAUCCUAGUUGGGGGGGGAGGUGUAAAAAUAAAGUGUUUCCACCUCCAGCCAAUCCCAGGGAAGACAGGAGGGCACUCCUCCAAUAGGAUCCUGGAGCCGUCUGUAGCAGUGGCUGCCUGCGACCACCCCUAGCACUCUGGCAGGCGGGAGGGACGCAUCCGGUGCAUUCGCGAGGUCCAGUUGCCGGUACCUGGGAUCUUCUUGCGCGAGGCAGUGGCGGCACCGACGGCCCGAGGUUCCCGGUCAGCAGGUUGCGGAGGAUCGUGCGGGUAGCAAAAGGAGGGCGAGUGCUACUGCGGCCCCAGACAGCGACCAGGUAAGUACCCUGCGGAGCCCACCCCCAUGCCUGCCCUCCGCGCUCCCCUCAUUUCUGUCUCUUGGUAAACGGUGUACUUUGCAGGUCUGCAGCUCACGUGAUUGUCUGCGUGCUUGUCUCAAAGUCUCCGUCUCUCUCUGCCCACUCCACUCCGUGUCUGUCCCCACCUUUCUGUCUGCCUGUACCUUUCUGUCUGGCUCCCUCUCUGAGACACAGGAGACCACCCAGACCUACAAGGCUGAAUCCUGCUCCAAGCAAUAAAAACUAGCUGUAAAACCUCUAGCCUCACCCAGCUGGGCCUCAGUUUCCUCAUCUGUCAAAUGAGAGUCUAAUAAUCUCCUGAGACAAUACAUGUGCCUCACUUUGCCCUGCUGCCUGGCCCCUAGAAAAGUGUCAAUAAAUAAUAACUGUUAUGAUUGAAAAGAAUAUAGUCUCUCUUGGCCUUUGCCUUUAUUUUUUCCUGUCUCUGACCCUCCCCCCACCCCAAUUGGUUCUUCUUUGUGAAUGUUUCUUUCUCUGUUAUUGCUUUUCCUCUUUCUGCCUCUUUCCCAUCCCGAAGCUGGUUAGAGGUACAUUGUUUAUAGCAAUGAGCUUGACCUAAGAGUGCCUAUCAGCUUAGUCUGGGGCUCUUGUCUGUUCUGUGGGUAAAAAAACGGAGCCUGGCCUUAGGCUGCUUCUGGUCUCAUUGAGGAGACAGUGUUCCCCAGCUACUGUGUUAAAUAUGUGAGACCUACCCCCGUAGGGUGGGGAGCAGCUUAGAUGAAAAAGUGAAUCAGGCUCCUAUCCUGUAUCAUGUUAGUUACUACAAGAAAACCAGAGACCAGGGGUCUUCUCAUUACAGCCCCGGAGUUGACCAGGCGUCUGGAACUCACCUUCAGUCAUCAGCAAAAUCCCCUUCAUUCUCACCCUGGUUUCUGAAUAGUCCUGUUGGGUUUUUUUGCCUUACCUUAGUGGUUCGCAUACCUUUUGGACACAGCACUCCAUUUUUAUAAUGUACAUUUUGAAAUAUCUCCUUCACUGUUCUGAACUGAAGUGCAUAGAUAAUAGAAUCUGUCUACACACAUAAUUCCCCUCAGAACCAAUAUAGUGUUCUAAUUGGAUAUAAGGGAGAAGUAAAGGAAAAAUAAUUUAUAAUAAAGCAAUAUAUUUCAUUAUCUUUUUUUUCUUUUAAAAUAUAUAUUUCAAUAUGUAAAGGCUGGGAUAUAAUUCCACUGGAAGACAUAUGGAGUGGUCUUGAACAUAAUGGAGUGGUCUUUAGAAUAUAUAUAUAUAUAUAUAUAAUGCUUGUACCUGGGAGUGUACAUAUAAUGCUUGUACCUGGGAGUGUGACAGCUACACUGUGACUCAGAAACCAUGGAUAGGGUGAUGUGAUUUUCCUAGAUGAUGAGCAGUUCUUUAUAAGGUUCUAAACAAAACAAAGUACAAUCUUCCCUCUAUUUAUAUGAUGGUUGAAUUACUGGAAAAGUCAUUAUAUACUAAAAUCCAUAAUCUGGCUCCCAUAAGCUCUCUGAUCUUAUCUCCUACGACUCUCCCCACUUACUCCCUCUCUUUCACCCAUCCUGACCUCCUCUAGGCUACUUGAACAUAUUAGGCACACAUCCACCUCAGGAGGUUGAACUGGGCCAUCCGUUGUACCUAGAAUGCUCCCCUCUCCAAUAUCCACAAAGCUCAUGCCCUCACCUCCUUCAGGCCUCUACUCAGAUGUCACUUUCUCAAUGAGGCCUACCCUGACCUUCAUAUUUAAAAUUGUAGCACUCCCCUAGCACAUACCCUGCUCUGUUUUUUCCAUAGUGCUUCUCACCCUCUUACGUAACAUAAUUUACAUCUUUAUUAUGUUUGUUGUUUAUUGUCUGACUCUCGCACUCAAUUGUAAACUCCAGAAGGGCAGACAUGGUUUGUUUGUGUCCUGAUGUAUCCCUAUUACCUGAAACAAUGCUUGGACAUAGUAGUCUCUCAAUAAAUGUUUAUUGAAUGAAUGAAUGAAUGAACAGGUUUUUCACCUACGUGAUUAUCUGAUGGAACAUUCUAAAGUUGCAUGGGAUGCAUUAUGAUUGUUAGCCGUGUGGAGCUGUUUUAGCCGUGUGUGAGCAUCCCUGCUCAGUGCCCACUGAAUGUCACAAGUAAUCUCCAAUUAUUUUGACAGUCAAAAAUGCUCCCAAAACACCCCUUGCCUGUCUGUUCAAUCCCUCACUGAGAACAACUACUUGAAUAGAAAUCUGGCUUUUCCCUGAGCACUCUGCUCCCCCAGCAGCCCCCUCAUACCCCUCCUGCCAGGAGUUUAGGACAUGAGAGUAGGUGUCCUCACUCUAUAUGUCCUUUCUAGACAUUUUCUCUCCCUCCUCCUUAAACAUUGUUUUUUUAGAAUUAAAACCUUCUUAUUUUUAAAUAAUUUCAGACUUUUUAAAAGUUAUAAAAACAAUACAAAGAAUCCCCAUAUAUCCUUCACUUAGAUUCCCCAAAUGUUAAGAAAUUAUACAACUACAUUUCAAUUAUCAAAAUUAGGAAAUGAACAAUGGUACAAUACUCUUAAUGAAAGUAUAGAACCUAUUUGAAUUUCAUCAUUUUUUCC
Molecule: long non-coding RNA, 2963 nt
Organism: Capra hircus (goat)
Lineage: Eukaryota; Metazoa; Chordata; Mammalia; Artiodactyla; Bovidae
Source: Ensembl